AUUCAGCGAACCUGAUCCAGAUUCUUCUGAUGAUUGGCUGCCAUCUGGAUCAACUGGGAGCAGCAGAAAGACAUGAAUGAGGUCAUGCAUCCAGCAGAGAACCCACUCCUGUUGACAGAGCUAAGAAAGGUUGUGCAUCCAGCAGAGGUUGUGGGCAAUACUCUGGCUGGUAUCAAACAGACAGGUAGCCAAAUGAGAUCCCCUUUACUGCAACCCCUGGACCUCGGAAUGCUACCGCAGAGCUGG
Molecule: long non-coding RNA, 246 nt
Filed under: Gouania willdenowi (blunt-snouted clingfish)
Lineage: Eukaryota; Metazoa; Chordata; Actinopteri; Blenniiformes; Gobiesocidae
Description: lncRNA (ENSGWIG00000022880.1)
Source: RNAcentral